This is a long non-coding RNA of Populus euphratica (Euphrates poplar), 261 nucleotides long. RefSeq lists it as uncharacterized. The transcript is spliced from 2 exons. NCBI's taxonomy places the organism in Eukaryota, Viridiplantae, Streptophyta, Magnoliopsida, Malpighiales, Salicaceae. The record is from RefSeq and is a predicted model, not a curated record.
GAUAAGCUGCGGGCCAAUGAUCCAAGUAAAAUCUAAAGCUGGGGAGGCCAUAAAUCAUUCUAGUAAGCUUUCAAAAGAUUAUACAUACAUGUUCAAUCUAAGAGACAAUAGAAGAACCAGUUCGCAAAAUCCAUGCAUAGCCAUUAUAUCAAUUUGUGAGAUGCUAAUGCAGUCAUUCGUGCAGCCGCCCCCUCGCCAUUCAUGGCGGAUAAGCUUGUUAAUUCAUAAUGCUAUUCAAACGGUGAUUAUCGAAGUUUUUUC